CACGCAGGCGGUGUAGCAAGUCCCGUGUGAAAGCCUCAGGCUCAACCUGAGAAGGUCACGGGAAACUGCUACGCUAGAGUACGAGAGGGGAGAGCGGAAUUCCCAGUGUAGAGGUGAAAUUCGUAGAUAUUGGGAGGAACACCGGCGGCGAAAGCGGCUCUCUGGCUCGAUACUGACGCUCAUGUGCGAAAGCGUGGGGAGCAAACA
This 207-nucleotide ribosomal RNA is filed under the name uncultured bacterium. Its description in RNAcentral is "partial 16S ribosomal RNA". It matches the Rfam family "Bacterial small subunit ribosomal RNA", at positions 568 to 774 of the family's 1533-position model. The record is from RNAcentral.